This 406-nucleotide long non-coding RNA is filed under the name Homo sapiens (human). Its description in RNAcentral is "HSALNT0165942". Lineage: Eukaryota; Metazoa; Chordata; Mammalia; Primates; Hominidae. The record is from RNAcentral.
UCGAAAAGUGAAAUAUAUCUGAUUGUAAUAAGCCUCAGGGAGCCUGAAUAAAAUACUAAUCCAAGUGUAUCUAUGUGGCUCCCACAGAUACAUUUGAAGAAGUUCCUGUUGUUUGUCAAUUACAUUAAGUAAAGGAAUUAGCAUUAUCACAGGUCCAAACAUGGUGAUUAUGAGAAUUUGCUGUUACAGUGUUACACAGUCUUAAUACGUCAAAACAACCUGUCACAGUGCUUUACGUGAUGUACAUACAAAAAUAUUUGCAUAACUGUAUAAAACAGUUGAAUAAUAACUGUAUAGCAUAUUGCUUAUAUAAACUGCACAAAUCUCAUUUGAAUAAAAACCAUUUAUAAAGUACUUGCAGUAUGCAAAAUGUGUUGGGCAAAGGGCAGGUCUGAGAGGCACACAC